Long non-coding RNA from Sphaerodactylus townsendi, 2036 nucleotides. RefSeq lists it as uncharacterized. The transcript is spliced from 3 exons. The record is from RefSeq and is a predicted model, not a curated record. Lineage: Eukaryota; Metazoa; Chordata; Lepidosauria; Squamata; Sphaerodactylidae.
ACCCACAAGCUGAGGUUACACACGCACGCCAUCAGCAAUGCUGUCCAUCCACCAUUUCUUUGGUCUUCCACUUGGGUGGUGGCCUUGAAUGUGUAUAAUUGGUCAAGGUCACUCAGCAAGCUUCCAUGGAAGAAUGUGAAAUAGCAAACAGAUGAGCUGCAAGCAGAGGAAAUCUCUGUGGGGAAUCUCUUUGGAAAUGGACUACCUCCUCAAGGGUCAUUGCUUCAGGGGUCAGGAUCCCAAACUGGAAUCUGGGAGACCCAGUGCUCCCAACUGGAAAAAAACCAGCCUUCGGUUCCAUGGAAAGUUGAAGACCAAGCAAGGUGGGAGAUCUAUGAAUGGACCUCCUGCAACUUCUAACAUUUUAAACAGCAAGCGUGUGAGGCCAAGCAUCAGGUUGGGGCCUCAGUACAGGAGAAAGAAAGAGUUACCUCCCAUUGCAAACAGUUUUGAAAUACGAAUCACUUUCUCCUCCCUACCUCAGAUUGUUGUUUGCUCUGGAAAAACAAGUAAAAAAGUGUAUGUUUCUCUCUAUGGAGGAAAUGACCACCCAGGGUAAGAAAGGUUGUUCAGAUCAUGAAAACAAUGAAGGGGAAAGUUGAGCUGUUGUUCCUGCAGCCAUGGUUCAGUCACAUCCAAAUCAGGUCUUUGUGUGGUUCCACUGACAUGAAAUGGCUCCAAAGAGCCACUAUAUUCCCCAUUAGAGUAACUUACAUGUCUUGAUCCUUACACCUUAAUUUCCCCAGUUGAGUAAACAGUGGCUCUCCAGGGCCAUUACACAGUGGGAAAAUGGUGUGGAGGGGAAGUCUGAAAUCCCUUCUCCCCAUGCUCUGGACUUCUGAUUCAAAUUGGGUCCCUGUGAAGGACAGAUUGCACUAAAGUAUGUAUCUUAAUUUUUUUAAAGGCAGCUAUCCCACCAAUGCAUGCGGGGGAGGACCAGACUGAUAGUUAAUAGCAGUGUGCAAGAUUCUACCAUGGACGUAGAACCAACUUGACUGCUCUUAAAUUCUGACAUGUGACAUCACUUUACGGGAGUUAUGCUUCAUGCAGUUUCUUCUGCUUCUUCUGCCCAGUCUUCAAAUUGAACAGGUGUUCCCUUGUAAUGAAAAGUCUUAGUCCUAUAAUAUAUGAAGCAAUUACAGGCCCCUUCUGCACACGCAAAAUAAUGUGUUUUCAAACCACUUUCAGAACUGUUUGCAAGUGGAUUUUGCUAUUCCACACAGCUUCAAAGAGCACUGAAAGCAGUUUGAAAGUGCAUUAUUCUGCAUGUGUGGAAUGAGCCACAGUUACCUUCUAGUUCAAGUAGAGUGCUCUCCCAAAGUUGGGGUGGGGAAGGACUUGAUAUGGGAUUGUGAAUGUGAACUGGCUGGUCUUAGCAUCUGCCCUAAAUAAAUACAUAAUAAAGAAAGCAAUUAAUAGAAGAAACACUCAAGGGAUCUUGUUGAAAGAACACAUUUGUAGGAUGGUACUACAAUUUCAGCAAGCUAGUGGCAACAAAUGUUCAUGUUAAGAUCUGGGAGCAGAAGGGCGAAUCAUGGAAAAGUCUGAUCUGGAAAAGAGGCCAAGGGGACAAGAAGUUCAGCCUCCUUUCAUCAGGACUGGAUUGUGUGUGGAUGAAAAUGGCUCUUUUCAACUUUUCUCCUUCCUUCUUGCCUUGUCUGAAAAAGUCAGGGGAUCAUGUAAUAAGAAGACCAAUUUCAAUGCACUUUCUCCCCCAGACUUAUUUUCAUGCAAGGAGGAAGUGCAUCUGAUUUUAGCUGUGACCAUUGUACUCUUAGGAGAUGAUGCUUGAACUUAGAUAUGAACUUUUCAGCAAGCAUUUGUGACCAUUGGAAAUGCUCCAGUUUUAUUAUUUGGGGCUUUAGUUGCUGGCUCUCUGUUUAGCCAGCUGAGGUCACUGUGGGACCAUCUCUCAGCAAAAUGUCCUCCUGUUUUCUUUAUAGAACAGCAAGCACCUUGCUGGUGAAGGAAAGAGCAACUGCUGCAACAUAAUCUUUACCUCAGUUUAUAAAAGCUGGGACUAACUGACGGUUGUA